RNAcentral lists this transfer RNA (73 nucleotides) under Talismania bifurcata (threadfin slickhead). RNAcentral's name for it is "tRNA-Asp". It matches the Rfam family "tRNA". Rfam says of the family: Transfer RNA (tRNA) molecules are approximately 80 nucleotides in length. Lineage: Eukaryota; Metazoa; Chordata; Actinopteri; Alepocephaliformes; Alepocephalidae. The record is from RNAcentral.
GGGGCCCUAGUAAAAUAGCACAUCACACUGCCUUGUCAAGGCAGAAUUGCAGGUUGAACCCCUGCGGGCCCUG